CCUACGGGAGGCAGCAGUGGGGAAUAUUGCACAAUGGGGGAAACCCUGAUGCAGCAACGCCGCGUGAGCGAUGAAGGCCUUCGGGUCGUAAAGCGCUGUCCUAAGGGAAGAAGCAUGACGGUACCUUAGGAGGAAGCCCCGGCGAACUACGUGCCAGCAGCCGCGGUAAUACGUAGGGGGCGAGAGUUAUCCGGAAUGACUGGGCGUAAAGGGUGCGGAGGCGGCCGAUUAAGCCAGGGGUGAAAGGCGAUGGCUCAACCGUAGUAAGACCUUGGAACUGAUUGGCUUGGGUGCAGGAGGGGAGAGGGGAAUUCCUAGUGUAGCGGUGAAAUGAGUAGAGAUAAGGAAGAAGACCAGAGGAGAAGACGGCUUGAAGGACUGUAACAGACGCUGAGGCACGAAAGAGUGGGGAGCGAACAGGAUGAGAUACCCUAGUAGUC
This 440-nucleotide ribosomal RNA is filed under the name uncultured bacterium. Its description in RNAcentral is "bacterial SSU rRNA". It matches the Rfam family "Bacterial small subunit ribosomal RNA", at positions 338 to 795 of the family's 1533-position model. The record is from RNAcentral.